RNAcentral lists this ribosomal RNA (670 nucleotides) under uncultured cyanobacterium. RNAcentral describes it as "bacterial SSU rRNA". It matches the Rfam family "Bacterial small subunit ribosomal RNA", at positions 65 to 778 of the family's 1533-position model. Lineage: Bacteria; Bacillati; Cyanobacteriota. The record is from RNAcentral.
AACGAAAGUUUUUAUACUUUAGUGGCGAACGGGUGCGUAAUACGUGAGAAUCUGCCCUUAGGAGGAGGAUAACUGCUGGAAACGGCUGCUAAUACUCCAUAUGUCGAGAGAUGAAAUAAUUUAUUGCCUAAGGAUGAGCUCGCGCCUGAUUAGCUAGUUGGUGAGGUAAUGGCUCACCAAGGCCACGAUCAGUAGCUGGUUUGAGAGAACGAUCAGCCACACUGGGACUGAGACACGGCCCAGACUCCUCCGGGAGGCAGCAGUGAGGAAUUUUCCGCAAUGGGCGAAAGCCUGACGGAGCAAUACCGCGUGAGGGAUGAAGGAUUUUGGUCUGUAAACCUCUUUUCUCAAGAAAGAAGUUCUGACGGUACUUGAGGAAUAAGCAUCGGCUAACUCCGUGCCAGCAGCCGCGGUAAUACGGGGGAUGCAAGCGUUAUCCGGAAUCAUUGGGCGUAAAGCGCCUGUAGGUUGUUUAAUAAGUCUGUUGUUAAAGACUAGGCUUAACCCUAGAAAAGCAAUGGAAACUACUAGACUAGAGUAUGGCAGGGGUAGAGGGAAUUUCUAGUGUAGCGGUGAAAUGCGUAGAUAUUAGAAAGAACACCGGUGGCGAAAGCGCUCUACUGGACCAUUACUGACACUCAGAGGCGAAAGCUAGGGUAGCAAAAGGGAU